This 496-nucleotide ribosomal RNA is filed under the name uncultured bacterium. Its description in RNAcentral is "partial 16S ribosomal RNA". It matches the Rfam family "Bacterial small subunit ribosomal RNA", at positions 28 to 506 of the family's 1533-position model. The record is from RNAcentral.
GAUGAACGCUGGCGGCGUGCCUAAUACAUGCAAGUAGAACGCUGAAGCUUGGUGCUUGCACCGAGCGGAUGAGUUGCGAACGGGUGAGUAACGCGUAGGUAACCUGCCUCUUAGCGGGGGAUAACUAUUGGAAACGAUAGCUAAUACCGCAUAAAAGUCGAUAUCGCAUGAUAUUGAUUUGAAAGGUGCAAAUGCAUCACUAAGAGAUGGACCUGCGUUGUAUUAGCUAGUUGGUGAGGUAACGGCUCACCAAGGCGACGAUACAUAGCCGACCUGAGAGGGUGAUCGGCCACACUGGGACUGAGACACGGCCCAGAUUCCUACGGGAGGCAGCAGUAGGGAAUCUUCGGCAAUGGGGGCAACCCUGCCCGAGCAACGCCGCGUGAGUGAAGAAGGUUUUCGGAUCGUAAAGCUCUGUUGUAAGAGAAGAACGAGUGUGAGAGUGGAAAGUCCACACUGUGACGGUAACUUACCAGAAAGGGACGGCUAACUACGU